Molecule: ribosomal RNA, 253 nt
Filed under: uncultured bacterium
Lineage: Bacteria
Description: partial 16S ribosomal RNA
Rfam family: Bacterial small subunit ribosomal RNA
Source: RNAcentral
UACAGAGGGGGCUAGCGUUGUUCGGAAUUACUGGGCGUAAAGCGUGCGUAGGCUGCUUUCCAAGUCAGGCGUGAAAUCCUGGGGCUUAACCCCAGAACUGCGCUUGAAACUAGAAGGCUUGAGGACGAGAGAGGAUAGUGGAAUUCCUAGUGUAGGAGUGAAAUCCGUAGAUAUUAGGAGGAACACCAGUGGCGAAGGCGGCUAUCUGGCUCGUAUCUGACGCUGAGGCACGAAAUCGUGGGGAGCAAACAGG